Molecule: long non-coding RNA, 1398 nt
Filed under: Numida meleagris (helmeted guineafowl)
Lineage: Eukaryota; Metazoa; Chordata; Aves; Galliformes; Numididae
Description: lncRNA (ENSNMEG00000022516.1)
Source: RNAcentral
CAGACAGCAGGCUCUGGCAGCUGACCAGCAAUGCGCUCCCCAGUGGCUGCAUUGCUGGGAAAUGCUAGGUAAACAACGGCCGAGAUGAAAAGCAGGAUACUUCUGUGUGUGUGAAGCAGUGAGGCUGAGCCCUGGGACCCCCAUGACACCAUGAAGAUAAAUAGUUCAGGCUCAGAUGAUGUUUGCCACCAGGCUCUGUGCUUUCCCCCACGGGUGUAUGGUGACGGAAACCCAACACGUCCCAGAGCGCGCUGACACUGUUACUCUGCUCUGGCAUGGGUGGAACGGCCCCAGGAGGUAGAGCCCGUGCUGGUUGCAUGUGGAGCUGUGCACUCUCCUUCCACUCUCUUCUUUACAUCUCCACCAUAAUUCUGGGUUGCACUUGGCAACGUUGAAUGAGACCCUAUAGCAAGAGCCUCACCUGUGCUAAGGCAGGGAAAGCCUAUGGUGAGAAUCCAUUUCAGAUGUUUUUUUUAAGUGCAGGAUCGUGGUUUUAUGGUACAUUUUAACAUAAAUAUCCUCUUCAAACUAGCUUUUUUUUUCCCGUCUUGUGAGGAAACAUCUUAAUGGAGCGGGAUUUGGGAAGCCUGUCCCAGGGAGCUGAGCAAAAUGAGCUCAGAGUGCCACUCUUGCUGCUUCUCUUUGCAGGUUUGCAGAAGGGACGCAGCACUUUUCCUCAUCUUCCAGCUCAGCAAUGCAGAGCAAACACUGAUAAAGUCCUUCAGAGCUGCAAGGUUUGAUUUCAAGAUUAUCUGGAAAUGACCCAAACAAGAGAGAGAGAGGACUUGGGACUGCUCUUGAGAAAUGCCUGCACAGGAUCAGCCAUCAGCCAUCAGCGGUCCAGACACAUCCAAAGGGAUUUAUUUUAGAAAUUGUGUGGUAAUCUCACAACAGCCAUCCUUCCGAGGUGAUUUCCAGCACCUCCUCGUUAUGUUCCCAUUACAAUGAAAUGCAGAGAUACUGUGAGAAUAGCUUUUUUCCCCCUAUUUUGCAAUCUCUUUGUGCUGUAAGUGCACUUUGCACCUGGUUUGGCUGAAGGUUUGGGCCAAGUUUGUGGGGUGAGCUUGGAAAAGGCCCAAUCUGGCUUUAUUGCUGAAGCUCUGUGGAAGAAGGACACAAACCAUCCAUGAGGACUUAAUCUUCUAAGGGAUGCAAACCCAUGAAACAUCCCCUUGCUUUGUUAGCCAGCGGGGCUGUGCUCUGGCUGUAUCUUUGCUGCUAUAUUGACUGGUUGUACGUAGAAAAUACUUCUGCUUCUGCUGCACAUACGCCCACCUUGGAGAGGCUGUAGCUGAGCAAACACAAGAUAAGAGUUUAGCAGCUCCCAACGCUGAAAAAACAGAGUGCCCUUUUCAGCUGGAAAAUUCAGACCAUCACUUGGACGGAACGGUGUCUUCU